Molecule: long non-coding RNA, 443 nt
Organism: Pipistrellus kuhlii (Kuhl's pipistrelle)
Lineage: Eukaryota; Metazoa; Chordata; Mammalia; Chiroptera; Vespertilionidae
Exons: 2
Source: RefSeq, a predicted model, not a curated record
GGCGGUAGGGCACCAACAGGCCAGCAAGUGGCUUUUGCUUGCACCCAUGGGUCCAGGACCCCUAUGAAUGAAGUCCCAGGGCUCACCUUGGGAACUAGAAGUCCUGGAGACCCACACUCACUGAUGAGGGGCUUUAACAUUUCCGAGGUGCCUACAUCAUUCUUGAACUCCAGAGAAGGCCAAGAGUGGGUGGACCUCACCGAGGCAUUUAACCCCCUGCAGCCCGACGAUACAGUCACGAAGAAGCUUUAAACAGAUAAGCCAUCAUACUGGGUGUAGAAAUGUUCCAGCUUCCAUAAUUCUUUAUUAAAUAUUUGACAAGUUGCAUCACUUCUUUACAAUGACUUCACUUUGUCACAUGACUGUUUUGCUGUCAGGAAAACAAUCUACAAUUUCUCAUUCGACUGCUCGAGUAAAACGAAAAGCCCAAAGGAUUCUGUUCU